Molecule: long non-coding RNA, 406 nt
Filed under: Brassica napus (rape)
Lineage: Eukaryota; Viridiplantae; Streptophyta; Magnoliopsida; Brassicales; Brassicaceae
Description: long non-coding RNA (BNAP_LNC012339)
Source: RNAcentral
AGGUUCACCCCUGUGGUGAAUAGUUAAAUUCACCACACUCUUCAUAACCAAUUAAAGUGUCAUGUAGAAAUAGUUAAAAAAGGCAAUAAAAAUAAAAAAAUAGCUAAAAAAAAAACAACACCGACAUUAAUUAACGCCGUCUAAGAACCUAAACUCUAAAACCAUAAAUCACAAUCCGAAACACUAAACCCUAAAUCCAAAUCCUAAAACUCAAACUCUAAAUCUUAAACCUUAAACCCAAACUCUCAACAAUAAACCUUAAAUCCUAAAAUCUAAACCCUAAACCCAAAACUCUAAACCAUAAACCCUAAAAUCUAAACCCUAAAUCCUAAAUCCUAAACCCUAAACUCUAAACCCAAAACUUCAAAUCCUAAACCCUAAACUCUAAAUCCUAAACCCUAAACCC